AACGAACGCUGGCGGCAUGCCUAACACAUGCAAGUCGAACGAGACCUUCGGGUCUAGUGGCGCACGGGUGCGUAACGCGUGGGAAUCUGCCCUUGGGUUCGGAAUAACAGUUGGAAACGACUGCUAAUACCGGAUGAUGACGUAAGUCCAAAGAUUUAUCGCCCAAGGAUGAGCCCGCGAAGGAUUAGCUAGUUGGUGAGGUAAAGGCUCACCAAGGCGACGAUCCUUAGCUGGUCUGAGAGGAUGAUCAGCCACACUGGGACUGAGACACGGCCCAGACUCCUACGGGAGGCAGCAGUGGGGAAUAUUGGACAAUGGGCGAAAGCCUGAUCCAGCAAUGCCGCGUGAGUGAUGAAGGCCUUAGGGUUGUAAAGCUCUUUUACCCGGGAUGAUAAUGACAGUACCGGGAGAUUAAGCUCCGGCUAACUCCGUG
RNAcentral lists this ribosomal RNA (433 nucleotides) under uncultured bacterium. RNAcentral describes it as "partial 16S ribosomal RNA". It matches the Rfam family "Bacterial small subunit ribosomal RNA", at positions 29 to 507 of the family's 1533-position model. The record is from RNAcentral.